This is a long non-coding RNA of Peromyscus californicus insignis, 1825 nucleotides long. RefSeq lists it as uncharacterized. Lineage: Eukaryota; Metazoa; Chordata; Mammalia; Rodentia; Cricetidae. The transcript has 2 exons. The record is from RefSeq and is a predicted model, not a curated record.
UGUGUCACGUGGGGGACAAAGGUUAACAUCAGGGUAUCUCCCUCACUUCUGUACACUACCUUCCUUUCUUUUUUGAGACAGGGUCUCUCCCUGAGCCCUGCCAUUGAAUCGACGACGCAUGCUGCCACCCUUGACUUUCUACUCCGAUCCUCACUCUUGCACGGCAAGCACUUCACUUACUGAGAGCAUCUCCCCAGCUGCUGCCCUCCCAUUAGACUCCCCGACCUUCUUGCUUGCCAGUCUCUUCCAAACCAGAGGGAAACAGUCACUUCCCACUACCCUCGGGGUUAACAGCUUUGAGACCAAAAAGAAAAGCUGACAGUAUCCUAGGAACUAAUUAGGUGGCCUUCAGGUACUCCCAAGGAGGAAGAAAUGACACCUGGUGUCAGAAAAGGAAGAAAAAAAACACACUGAAGGCAAACAAGGGCGUGGGGGGUGGGGAGGAAUAAAAACCCGAGAUAAAAAGUCAAGAGCAAACAGCGGCGGCGCCUGAGAAACACGAACUGCGGCCGCCAACUUUUACGGCAUCCAGCCCUGUUAUUCAUAAGCGAGUUUCCUCUCACAAAGAACCUUUUGCACGGUUUUCGCUGCUGCCUCCAAACCAGCUGCUCGCGCUGUUGUAUCCUGAGUGAUGAUGAGGUUCUGAAAGGGCUUUUUGGGAACAGAUGGCCAGGGGAGAGCUGGGGAAUGUGCCAGCGGAGGGCCGGGCGGGCUGCCAAGGCCUGCGGUGACUGAGUUCUUGGGCUUCCAACUCGCGUGCUUUCCCUGCCCUCUGCCCUCCGUGGCGCCAGCAGGCCUUCCCAGCGAGCGCUCGGAACAUCUGGAGUCUGGGGUUGCCAGGAGGGGGGGCGGGCGGCCUGGAGGGGGGGACCCGCUGUUCCUGCGGAGCUCCCAUAGACUCGCAGCCAGGCCCGCCUCUCGCAGCUGCUAAUCAAAACCACAGCACCGAAUGGGAACCAGGCGGCGCUCCCAGCUGCAGCCGGAGGCCGCCAGGCGACUUAACCCGGUGUCAGGCCUCACUGGCGGCGCAGCCCUGGGGGUGCUCGGAGCUGAUGACACCCCCGCCCCCGAAUCCCGGCCCACCCCACUCCUCGCCACCACCAGCGGGCUAUUGGCUCCCUGCAGCUAAAUGGAACCUCCACGUGCUGCAGAUGCCUAUUUACAUAAGGGCUCCAAAACAGGAAAGGUAUGGCGUUCUUGCCUUAUGGUGAAGAGACCUCGGGAUCAGAGGCACCAAGAAAGAAGUACCGCUGCCAGGACUUAAAACCUAGUCUAGCCCCCAAGUCCUACAUUUUGUUUACUUCAGAGCUAAACACAAACAUGCCAGAGAUGGCUGCGCUCUUGAGAGGUGUAGGGCUCCGGGGAUUCCGCCCAACUCUACACAGACAUCUUUCUGCAGCAUCCAUGUCCUAAGCAUGGCGGGUUCCUAGAGCACAGACCGCUUUCAUGUCCGCGCAUGCGCAUUGCUUCUCUCUCGCUACCAUUGAGGCUCCUGAGUCUUCCUUCAUAUCCAGCACUGCAGGGUGAAAGGCAAGAGUUGUGAUCCACGGGGCUGGGACCGCGGCACCUCAGCCUCGACCUCACCUCAGACCACCCAGGGAACAUCAUAGGCCCUUGCAAGGAAAGCCGGCCCAGCUCACCUGGGAGGCCCCCCAAGCUAAUGAUCCCACCAACCCAGGCCCUGCCAGACUUGUGGCCUAACAGUGUCAAAUGUGAGAGAAGAAACGGCAGCUGAAAGAACGCUCCGUGUUGGAACAGCUGGCGACAAACAUCUAUGUAAUUGGAAUGCCAGAAAAAAUAAAUUGCAUCCAUUUUUAUGACUGGA